AAUGCGAAGUUUUUGUAUAAUUUGCAUUUGAGGUGAUGCAUCUCGCUGCGGAGUGUAAGCCUUUGAGCUCCCUCGCCUAACUCUGCUAUGCUUGUAUAAUGGGAAAAGUAACAAUUUCUGAUUGUUAUUCCUCCUAGAGGCUACGAUACCUGCUGUAUUUGGGGGGUGGGGGGAAUGUGGAAGAGACUCUGCCAGUUCAAAAGUCUAGAAAGAAAAAUGUAACUUUACAGCAGUAGAAGUUAUGCAAAUAAAAGUAUGAAAAAAAUCAACCUAGGUUCAUUUCUAAAGGGUUGUAAAAUCCUUCAUUUAAAGCUUAGUGUAAUCUGUGACAUUUAUGUGGGCACCUGGAAAAAAAAAAAAACCUAAAGCAGAGCUGUGGUAUGAAGUAGAGUGCUGCUGUGAGCAGCCACAUUUCUGUCUGCUUCUCAUUUAAAGUGCUAGCUCCCUUUUUGUAUACCUAAUAAAUGAUACGUAUAGAAUAUACAGCUGUGUCACAAAGUCAUUCUGCAUUCAUAAAGCUUAAUAUAAUCAAAUUCAUUGCCUAAAGACGGUGUGGUUGAAGAUUUGAUCCUUUUUCACUGAAGUGGAAAUACUUUCAGUAAUUGAAAGCAGAUUCACGUCUGGAGUUGUACAAGCCAAGGUUUUCAUUUUUAAAAUAAUCCUUUUGUUCCCCAGCUUUAAAUGUUUCAGUGAGCCAUCCAGAGACCUCUGUUUGCUAAUUGCUAGAGUAGACUUUAAGGAAGGGUUGAGGGGACAAAAACAAAAACUGAGAAAGAUUUGGGCUCAAAAGUGUCAAGCAGCUCAGUAACUACAAAUGACAUGUUACAAAAUUUCUUGAUUCGUGCUCUGCAACUCUAUAUGGAGAAUGGCUUCAUAUGUUUCACAGUAUAGUUUGUGUUUGUUUGCUUUUUUUUCUUUCAAGCUGUUAUAAAAAGACUAUGUUACAAUUUAGCAACAAACUUACAACAGCAGAACCCUUACAAAAACUUAAUGGUUAGGUGGUUUUGGCUUAUUUGUCAUUUUUAAUUUCUAAUCUUUUAGCAAUAGAAUUGAGAACACGUCAGGUAGUACAUUUCAUGCAGUAUGGGAUACUUUUUUUCUUUACCUUUUGAAGAAAAGCAGCUGAUGUGGUAGCUGUCUAAAAAAAUUAUAAUUGAUGCUAUAGCAUAAUGUGAAAUGUCAUGUACAGGUUCAUUUUAAAAGUCCACAAUAAGAAUGCUGCUAACACCCAUCAGUGUAUCAUGUAAACCAACCCAACUUAAAGAAUUUGUCUUGAGCUGUAUUCUUGCAUUUCUAAUGUGUGUUUAUGAAGAUUUAAUGUGAUACAUCAAGAUACUGAAGUGAUCUGAUAAGCCAUUAUGAGAUCAGACUUUACAGCUUUUCUUUCUGUAACUUGUUUUGUAUCCCAAUUCACUUGUUGAACUAAACAAGGAAAAAUAAAAGUUCACAAUACAUAUACUUCGUACAAUGUAGGCAUUCGAGCAGUGGUAUCAGAAAAUAAUCAGUGCUGUAUUGUUUUCCAAAUGAGAAGAGACUUUAGCUUUCCUGUCUUUUCUAUAUGUCUACAAAGAUUUUAUUGCUGGUUAUUUCAUUCUAAAUACAGCUAUAGGCUUCAUUCUGUGUGGGUCUGAAAGACUUUCUCAAGAGAUUUAUGCAUUUCAGAAUAGCAAGAGAGCUUCUAUAUGCUCAGUGAUGUAUAGAGAGAUGAUGUUGUGUGCUGGUGACCUCAGUAAUAGUUUGAAGAUAUAUACAUCUUUUAUGUUUGAACAUUUGAAGAUUUUAAACAAAAUAAGGAAUUGUGAUAAAAUAAAGCAACUGUAAAACUAAAAUGCUUCUGUAAUUUUCUAACUAAAGUAAGUUGAUGUUUUUAAAUGUUAGGGACAAAUGACAGAAAUGGCACUUGUAUUCCUUCAAAAAGCUUCACCCAUGAUAAACUCUGAUCAGAACAGGUAGGUAGCUGGAAUAUUCUGAAGGGAGUGGAAAAUAAUCAUUCACCUUCUUUGCCUAUGAUUGAAAUGAUUUGAAGUGCAAUUAUACAGGAAAACUUCAAAAUUCACUGAGGGGGUGACAACAAGUUGCAUAGCCUUCUUUUGGGACUGGCUAGGGCCACCAUUUAUCCAAACUUGAAAUGGAAAUAAUUGUUUUGUGUAAACCACCAAGUAGAUGGUUUAUGAAGCAAAUGUAAGAAAGUGAUAGAGCUCUCAUAUCUGGAGACAGUAUGUCAUUCAAGUGGGAUCUACACAGGUUAUGAUUUUGAGACCUACCUUAGAGUGAAAGGCUUGUUUAUGACUUGUUACAUACAGCAGAAAGAGUUUUGCAUAGCAAUAGCGUAUGAAUCAUUGCAGAUUUCAGGCAUUUGAUGAGGUAAUCAGUGAUGAUAGAAGCACUGAUUUUUUUUAUUGGGUAGUAGAAGGUAUCUUUACAAGAGGUCUGAAUUCUGAUCUAUUCAGAAUUCUGAUAUAUUCAGAAUUCAGGAGUCGAGUCUAGAUUAAAGAGUGUUCCAGCAAAAGAUUUAACCAAGUAGCUGAACACUGAGAUUUGGACAAACUGCCUCUACAACUUGGAGUAAUGGUGGACUGACAAAAUGGAAAAGGCAGAUAUUGUUGUAAUUUCUGAAGUUCUGCAUUAUGGUAAAACUCUGAUUAAACAUGUCUAACAGGUUUUCUGCUUACUGUAUUUUCUGUGGCAAAGGAACAGCAAUUUCUGCAGUAGCAGUAAGCUCACGUAUCUGUAGUAUCACGUCAGCAGUGAGUUACGUGUUUUUAUCUUUCCGAUACAACUUGCUGUUCUGCCUCAUUCUGUCUCUUGUAGAGGAUUCAGACCUAUACAACAGUAUUUCUAAGAUGCGUAAAAGAAAAACAGAUUUAGAAGAAAAAAAAUAAUCUAAAAUAAGAUCUCUUGCAUGCAACUACAAAAAGGACAGACAAGUGCUUUGCCUGCUUUUAAUUUUUUUUUAAUCCUGUUUCAGUUGUUACUAGUCCAAGUGAUAUUGAUGUGAGGAGUUUUAUUUUUCUUUAUAUGAAGAAGAGUUAUUGUCCUGGAGAAUGCUUCGAGAUGCAA
Long non-coding RNA from Columba livia (rock pigeon), 3060 nucleotides. RefSeq lists it as uncharacterized. The record is from RefSeq and is a predicted model, not a curated record. The transcript is spliced from 2 exons. Lineage: Eukaryota; Metazoa; Chordata; Aves; Columbiformes; Columbidae.